Non-coding RNA from Vicugna pacos (alpaca), 487 nucleotides. Lineage: Eukaryota; Metazoa; Chordata; Mammalia; Artiodactyla; Camelidae. The record is from RefSeq and is a predicted model, not a curated record.
UUUAUUUGUUUUAUUUCUUAAGAUUCUGUUUCUAAAUCCCAGACCUGUCUGAGGGUAUUUAGGGUGAAUCCCUGCCAAGUGAGGAGAGGUCUGCUGAGCUGGGCGUGGUCCUGGCUCCAGGCCCCGGUCAUUCCAGUGCACUCAGGUCUUGGGUAUCCACGCCUCUGGCCCAGCCAGCCUAGUCAGCCCGCGGCCCGGCGAGCUCUGCAGUCCUCCUGUCCCAGGCUCCCUAGGUCUCCAGGUACUCAAACAGCCCUUCGGUUUUGGGCAUGAGGCCCAGGUGGACCAGGACUCGAACCAGGAAGGCGGUGAGCCGCAUCGACAAGGUCUCCAGCCUGGGAUGGUGGGUCAUGGCAUUGUAGGAUGGUGGGGAGUGGGCCCUGGCCCCCUGCCUGCUGGCCCCCGGCCCACUGGCUCACCUCAGGGCCACUUCAAACUUGAAGGUCUCCCACACGACCCUGAUGUGGCGCAGAACACUGGCACCGUA